Molecule: long non-coding RNA, 647 nt
Organism: Panonychus citri (citrus red mite)
Lineage: Eukaryota; Metazoa; Arthropoda; Arachnida; Trombidiformes; Tetranychidae
Exons: 4
Source: RefSeq, a predicted model, not a curated record
CUCCUUUCCAAGGACAUGUAAAGAUGAUAAACUGAUGAAAUUAGAUCAACUGAUGAUAAUGGUAAUAGAAUAGAAAAUAAUAAUUAAUUAGUAAUUUCAACUAAAGAAUAAAAAAGAAAGAGAAUUAACCAAAUGUUAUGGUUUCUGUCUAUUUUCUAAUUAAUUGUGUUUUGGUCUUUCAUCGAUAAUCUUUAUUUCCAUUUGGUCAACAAUUAAUCUUCUUAACAAUUAGAUUGAAGUCUAAUUCUAUUAGCAUCUUAAUCGGUCAUUUUUUUGCUUCUGCUGAUUGUUGAAAGGUAAGUGGAACUCAAGGAUUUUCGCUUUGAAUCUCAGAUUUUAUCUUCUUGCCGAUUUCGUUGAGUGCCAGUCAAUAGAUUUUAAAUCUUAGAUGAAAUAGUUGCAUUUUCAUCUAAGUUGAAUCUAUCAUUUUAAUUAUUACCAAACAAAUUUAAUCAAUCGAGGCGAAAAUGGAUAAGAAUGGAAAAGAACAAAAAAAUCAAAGACCAGAAACAUCUGAAGGACGCAAAUUCGGUCAUUUAUCAACAUGUCCAACCUCAAGAAUUACAAACGAAACAAGAACUCGAGAUGAAUAUCGGAAUACAGGAUCAGAUUGGUUCGAUAAACAGAGAUCAAUGAAUCGAUGGUAA